UGGGGAAUAUUGCACAAUGGGGGAAACCCUGAUGCAGCGACGCCGCGUGGAGGAAGAAGGUCUUCGGAUUGUAAACUCCUGUUGUCGGGGACGAUAAUGACGGUACCCGACAAGAAAGUGACGGCUAACUACGUGCCAGCAGCCGCGGUAAAACGUAGGUCACAAGCGUUGUCCGGAAUUACUGGGUGUAAAGGGAGCGCAGGCGGGAAGACAAGUUGGAAGUGAAAUCUACGGGCUCAACUCGUAAAUUGCUUUCAAAACUGUUUUCUUGAGUAGUGCAGAGGUAGGCGGAAUUCCCGGUGUAGCGGUGGAAUGCGUAGAUAUCGGGAGGAACACCAGUGGCGAAGGCGGCCUACUGGGCACCAACUGACGCUGAGGCUCGAAAGUAUGGGUAGCAAAC
RNAcentral lists this ribosomal RNA (400 nucleotides) under uncultured bacterium. Its description in RNAcentral is "bacterial SSU rRNA". It matches the Rfam family "Bacterial small subunit ribosomal RNA", at positions 355 to 773 of the family's 1533-position model. The record is from RNAcentral.